AUGAAAGUCCACUUGUUUGGUGCAGCAUCGUCACCUGGCUGUGCCAACUAUGGGCUGAAGCAUGUCGCUGCUGAAGGACAAGGAAACUUUAGUGACGACACCAUAAAGUUCAUUCAACGGAACUUCUACGUGGAUGAUGGAUUGUCAAGUGUAGCAUCCGAAGACCAAGCGAUCCAACUGGUGAAAGAAGCAAGAGAACUUUGCAGCACAGGCAAACUCCGGCUGCAUAAGUUUAUCUCUAAUAGCAAGAAGGUCCUAGACGCAAUCCCAAAAGAAGAAUGUGCUGCAGCUGCCAAAGACAAGGACAUGGCACUGGGUGAACUGCACAUGGAAAGAGCACUCGGUGUGCAGUGGUGCGUGGCUUCUGAUGAGUUCCAGUUCAGAGUAAUCGUCAAGGAGAAUCCACUUACUCGAAGAGGAGUCCUGUCCACAGUCGCUUCAGUCUACGACCCUCUUGGAUUUGUGGCACAGUUCAUCUUGUUGGGAAAGCAGAUCCUGCAGCAGAUGUGUCGUGACAAGCUCAGUUGGGAUGACACCUUACCUGAUGACCUACGACCUCUGUGGGAAAGCUGGCUUCAAGACCUGCGGAAUCUAGCCGAGGUGAAGAUUCCAAGAUGCUACGUUCCAUCAAGCUUCAAGGUCCAACACUACGAACUCCACCAUUUCGCCGAUGCCAGUGAGUCAGGCUAUGGAGAGUGCUCGUACCUCAGAGCAGUGAGUACGUCAAGUGAAGUCCACUGUUCCUUUGUAAUGGGAAAGUCGAGAGUCGCUCCUACUAAGGUCACAACCAUACCAAGACUCGAGCUGUCAGCAGCAGUGGUAGCUGUCCGCACCAGUGACAUGCUCAAGAAAGAACUGGAAAUAGAAUGCCUACAAGAAGUCUUCUGGACUGAUUCAAGAGUGGUCCUUGGUUACAUCAAUAAUGAAGCCAGAAGAUUUCACGUGUUUGUGGCAAAUCGUGUGGAACGCAUCAAGCAAAGCACAGAGUCUACACAAUGGAAGUAUGUGGCUUCAGAAGAUAAUCCAGCAGACUACGCCUCAAGAGGUCUCACAGCAGAGCAACUGGUAUCCUCUAACUGGUUCACAGGCCCAGACUUUCUUUGGCAGAAGGAGUUACCAAGUGGAGAUGUCAAGGUGGGAGAGAUCACAUAUGACGAUCCUGAGCUUAAGAAGGUCCAGGUUCUCGACACCCAGGCGAAAGAAGUCAAGUCGCUGCUAGAUCGCCUACACAAGUUUUCAGACUGGUCCAAAAUGGUGAAAGCUAUCGCCAGACUCCAGCGCCAUGUGAAAGAAAUUAAAGGGCUUCAGCCAAAGUCCUGUGAAGCCUGCAGUUUGGAGGAAAGGAGAGAAGCGGAGUUGACAAUAAUCAAGAUGGUUCAAGAAGCAACCUUCUCACAAGAUAUACAGUUACUCCAAAGUGACAAGGAGACGCCAGUCAAGGGCAAAGCCAAUAAGUUGCACCGGUUAAGUCCAUUCCUGGAUGACCAAGGUGUCCUCAGAGUUGGAGGCCGCUUAACUCAUGCUGCCCUACAUCCACAGGUGAAGCAUCCAGCGGUCCUUCCAAAGGACAGUCAUGUGUCAAAUUUACUUGUCAAGCACUAUCAUGAAAGAGUGUACCAUCAAGGACGAGGAAUGACCAUGAAUGCGCUCCGAUCUAAUGGCAUAUGGAUACUGGGCUGCAGCAAGGCUGUAUCAUCCCAUAUCUACAAGUGCACUAAGUGCAGGAAGUUCAGAAGAUGCACUGAACAGCAGAAAAUGUCAGACCUUCCAGAGGACAGAAUGGAAACAGCUCCUCCAUUCACCUACUGCGGUAUGGACUGUUUUGGACCAUUCUACGUAAAGGAAGGAAGGAAAGAGCUAAAGCGUUAUGGAUUGUUACUUACCUGCAUGUGUUCCAGAGCGGUUCACGUUGAGAUGCUUGACGAUAUGACCACGGAUGCCUUCAUUAACGCAUUGCGUUCAUUCAUCGCCAUUCGUGGAAAGGUACGUCAGAUAAGAAGUGAUCAAGGAACAAACUUCGUCGGAGCAAGACGAGAGUUUGCUGAAGCAUUGAAAGAAAUGGAUCAGGAAGAGCUCAAGCAGCUUGGAUGUGAGUUCAUCAUGAACACCCCAGCUUCAAGUCAUAUGGGUGGCGUCUGGGAAAGACAAAUUCGCACCAUAAGAAGUGUCUUGACGUCCAUUCUAGAACAGUCAGCUACGCAGCUUGACUGCUCCUCUCUAAGAACGUUCCUGUAUGAAGUCAUGGCAAUAGUGAACAGUAGACCUCUGAGCACUGAUUGUCUAAAUGAUUCAUCCAGUCCAGAGCCCCUGACACCAAACCACAUUUUGACCAUGAAGUCCACGAUACUCGCUCCACCUCCUGGGAAGUUCGUCAAGGAAGAUCUAUACCUACGCAAGAGAUGGCGUCGAGUUCAAUUCUUAUCCAACCACUUUUGGACAAAAUGGAAGAAGGAGUACCUCCUGAGCCUCCAACAGAGACAGAAGUGGACCAAAGAUCGCAGGAAUGCAAAGGUCGGCGAUGUUGUACUCCUGCAAGAUGAUACUACACCACGUAACCAGUGGAGGAUGGCAAAGGUUAUCGAAGUGUACCCAGGAAAGGAUGGGAAGGUGCGAAGACUCAAGUUGCUCAUCAGCGACUCAACCCUUGAUGAGAAAGGAAAGCGUAUCUCCAAACCUGUCCACCUGGAAAGGCCCAUCCAUAAGACGGUGACGCUGAUGGAAGCAGACUGA
This 2730-nucleotide long non-coding RNA is filed under the name Gadus morhua (Atlantic cod). Its description in RNAcentral is "lncRNA (ENSGMOG00000036176.1)". The record is from RNAcentral. Lineage: Eukaryota; Metazoa; Chordata; Actinopteri; Gadiformes; Gadidae.